This 468-nucleotide ribosomal RNA is filed under the name uncultured bacterium. RNAcentral's name for it is "partial 16S ribosomal RNA". It matches the Rfam family "Bacterial small subunit ribosomal RNA", at positions 28 to 507 of the family's 1533-position model. The record is from RNAcentral.
GACGAACGCUGGCGGCGUGCUUAACACAUGCAAGUCGAACGGAAAGGCCCUGCUUUUGUUGGUUUCUCGAUUGGCGCACGGGUGAGUAACACGUGAGUAACCUGCCCUUGACUUUGGGAUAACUUCAGGGAACUGGGGCUAAUACCGGAUAUGAUCUACUGCUGCAUGGUGGGGGUUGGAAAGUUUCGGCGGUUGGGGAUGGACUCGCGGCUUAUCAGCUUGUUUGUGGGGUAGUGGACUACCAAGGGUUUGACGGGUAGCCGGCCUGGGAGGGUUGCCGGGCACAUUGGGACUGAGGUACGGAGCAGACUGCUACGGGAGGCAGAAGUGGGGAGUAUGGCAGAAUGGGGGGAAGCGUGAUGUAGCAACGCCGGGUGCGGGAUGAUGUGUUUCGGGUUGUAAACCGCUGUCGCCGGUGACGAAGAGUGAGUGACGGUAAUGGGUCAAGAAGCAACGGCUAACUACGUG